RNAcentral lists this ribosomal RNA (1320 nucleotides) under metagenome. Its description in RNAcentral is "bacterial LSU rRNA". It matches the Rfam family "Bacterial large subunit ribosomal RNA", at positions 1580 to 2925 of the family's 2925-position model. The record is from RNAcentral.
UAGUAGAGAAGCGUGUGAGCCAGCUGCCAAGAAAAGCCGCUAUUGCUUCAUAAGUACCCGUACCGUAAACCGACACAGGUGGAUGAGGAGAGAAUCCUAAGGCCGGCGGGAGAAGUGUUGUUAAGGAACUCGGCAAAAUGACUCCGUAACUUCGGGAGAAGGAGUGCCACAGAGAUGUGGCCGCAGAGAAAUGGCCCAAGCAACUGUUUAGCAAAAACACAGGUCUAUGCAAAACCGAAAGGUGAGGUAUAUGGGCUGACGCCUGCCCGGUGCUGGAAGGUUAAGAGGAGAGGUUAGAGCAAUCGAAGCUUUGAAUUUAAGCCCCAGUAAACGGCGGCCGUAACGAUAACGGUCCUAAGGUAGCGAAAUUCCUUGUCGGGUAAGUUCCGACCCGCACGAAAGGCGUAAUGAUUUGGGCACUGUCUCAACAACACACCCGGUGAAAUUGAAAUACCAGUGAAGAUGCUGGUUACCUGCGCCAGGACGGAAAGACCCCAUGGAGCUUUACUCCAGUUUGAUACUGGGAUUCGGUACUGUCUGUACAGGAUAGGUGGGAGGCUAGGAAAUGGUGACGCCAGUUGCCAUGGAGCCAACCUUGGGAUACCACCCUUACAGUACUGGGUUUCUAACCUGCAGCCGUGACCCGGCUGGGGGACAAUGUCUGACGGGGAGUUUGACUGGGGCGGUCGCCUCCGAGAGAGUAUCGGAGGCGCUCAAAGGUUCCCUCAGAACGGUUGGAAACCGUUCGAAGAGUGCAAAGGCAGAAGGGAGCUUGACUGCGACACCGACGGGUGGAGCAGAUACGAAAGUAGGACUUAGUGAUCCGGUGGUAUAAAGUGGGAUUGCCAUCGCUCAACGGAUAAAAGCUACCCCGGGAUAACAGGCUUAUCACUCCCAAGAGUUCACAUCGACGGAGUGGUUUGGCACCUCGAUGUCGGCUCAUCGCAUCCUGGAGCUGUAGCAGGUUCCAAGGGUUGGGCUGUUCGCCCAUUAAAGCGGUACGCGAGCUGGGUUCAGAACGUCGCGAGACAGUUCGGUCCCUAUCCGGCGUGGGCGUAGGAUAUUUGGGAGGAGCUGUCCUUAGUACGAGAGGACCGGGAUGGACAAACCUCUGGUGUAUCUGUUGUUUUACCAAAGGCAUGGCAGAGUAGCCAAGUUUGGCAGGGAUAAACGCUGAAGGCAUCUAAGCGUGAAGCCCCCCUCAAGAUAAGAUAUCCCAUCUUCGGAGUAAGACCCCUUGAAGACUACAAGGUUGAUGGGCUUCAGGUGUAAGUGUGGUAACGCACUCAGCUGAGAAGUACUAAUAGGUCGAGGACUUAU